Molecule: ribosomal RNA, 460 nt
Filed under: uncultured bacterium
Lineage: Bacteria
Description: partial 16S ribosomal RNA
Rfam family: Bacterial small subunit ribosomal RNA
Source: RNAcentral
CCUACGGGUGGCAGCAGUGAGGAAUCUUGGUCAAUGGACGAGAGUCUGAACCAGCCAAGUAGCGUGAAGGAUGACUGCCCUAUGGGUUGUAAAAUUCUUUUAUAUGGGAAUAAAACGUUCCACGUGUGGGAUUUUGUAUGUACCAUAUGAAUAAGGAUCGGCUAACUCCGUUCCAGCAGCCGCGGUAAUACGGAGGAUGCGAGCGUUAUCCGGAGUUAUUGGGUUUAAAGGGAGCGUAGGUGGAUUGUUAAGUCAGUUGUGAAAGUUUGCGGCUCAACCGUAAAAUUGCAGUUGAAACUGGCAGUCUUGAGUGCAGUAGAGGUGGGCGGAAUUCGUGGUGUAGCGGUGAAAUGCUUAGAUAUCACGAAGAACUCCGAUUGCGAAGGCAGUUCACUGGACUGCAACUGACACUGAGGCUCGAAAGUGUGGGUAUCAAACAGGAUUAGAUACCCUUGUAGUC